AGUUAAGCAAUGACAGGGAAGAGUACGAUGCAAUUUGCUUUUAGAGAGGGAAAUCAACAGCUGAAAGAUUUCCUAAGCAAAACAUUGGAAGGUCGCCCUUGAGCUUCUUCUGCGAAAGGAUGUCCAUAUCCGAUUAGUGGAAGACGGAUGAAAUCCGUUAUCCGAUGAAGAGCCAGUCGCAUUUUGAUUGGAAAAAAGGUGGUACCGCGAAGCAACUCCAUUCGUCCUUUUA
Molecule: non-coding RNA, 232 nt
Filed under: Bacillus sp. (in: firmicutes)
Lineage: Bacteria; Bacillati; Bacillota; Bacilli; Caryophanales; Bacillaceae
Description: Bacillus sp. T-box sequence
Rfam family: T-box leader
About the family: Uncharged tRNA acts as the effector for transcription antitermination of genes in the T-box leader family. T-boxes are found upstream of many aminoacyl-tRNA synthetase genes and some amino acid biosynthetic genes usually in Gram-positive bacteria.
Source: RNAcentral